CUUGCCCCUUCCUCUCUCUUUAUCUCUUUCCCAUCCCUUUGCUCUUUCCUAUCCACAGGUAAGAGCCAGAGCUUGAGGGACUGAGGCUAGAAAAGCUGGAGAAAAGAAGUCUGAAGACAGGCGACGGUAAUAAAAAUUAACAACCCUGACACCGCCACAUUUCCUCUGGGGAGAAUCAAUAUCAGAAGAAGAAAGGAAAAUGAAAAGGGCAC
Molecule: long non-coding RNA, 212 nt
Filed under: Dasypus novemcinctus (nine-banded armadillo)
Lineage: Eukaryota; Metazoa; Chordata; Mammalia; Cingulata; Dasypodidae
Description: lncRNA (ENSDNOG00000051546.1)
Source: RNAcentral